RNAcentral lists this transfer RNA (99 nucleotides) under Anabaena minutissima FACHB-250. RNAcentral describes it as "tRNA-OTHER". It matches the Rfam family "tRNA". From Rfam's summary of the family: Transfer RNA (tRNA) molecules are approximately 80 nucleotides in length. Their secondary structure includes four short double-helical elements and three loops (D, anti-codon, and T loops). Lineage: Bacteria; Bacillati; Cyanobacteriota; Cyanophyceae; Nostocales; Nostocaceae. The record is from RNAcentral.
GGGAGUGUCGCCUAAUGGAUGGGCAUCGUUCGCGUUAGCGUCUCCCUUCGGGAGAAUCUUCUAAAUCGAUUUGUAGGGGUUCGAGUCCCUUCACUCCUG